RNAcentral lists this ribosomal RNA (931 nucleotides) under uncultured bacterium. RNAcentral describes it as "bacterial SSU rRNA". It matches the Rfam family "Bacterial small subunit ribosomal RNA", at positions 28 to 929 of the family's 1533-position model. The record is from RNAcentral.
AACGAACGCUGGCGGCGUGGAUAAGACAUGCAAGUCGAGCGCUGAUUAGUGGGUAGCAAUAUCCGCUAGUCGGAGCGGCGCAAGGGUGCGUAACACGUGGGUAAUCUGCCAUGAAGUUUGGGAUAACUUGCUGAAAGGCGAGCUAAUACCGGAUGUGAAAAUUGGAAGGCAUCUUUUGAUUUUCAAAGCUGGGGACCGUAAGGCCUGGCGCUUCAUGAUGAGCCCGCGGCCUAUCAGCUAGUUGGUGAGGUAACGGCUCACCAAGGCUAAGACGGGUAGCUGGUCUGAGAGGACGACCAGCCACACUGGAACUGAGACACGGUCCAGACACCUACGGGUGGCAGCAGUCGAGAAUUUUUCACAAUGGGCGCAAGCCUGAUGGAGCGACGCCGCGUGGGGGAUGAAUGGCUUCGGCCCGUAAACCCCUGUCAUUUGCGAACAAAUUGGUUCACCUAAUACUUGAACCAUUGAUAGUAGCGAAAGAGGAAGGGACGGCUAACUCUGUGCCAGCAGCCGCGGUAAUACAGAGGUCCCAAGCGUUGUUCGGAUUCACUGGGCGUAAAGGGUGCGUAGGUGGUGAGGUAAGUCGGAUGUGAAAGCUCGGAGCUCAACUCCGAAAUGGCAUUGGAAACUACCUUGCUCGAGGGUUGGAGGGGGGACUGGAAUGCUUGGUGUAGCAGUGAAAUGCGUAGAUAUCAAGCGGAACACCAGUGGCGAAGGCGAGUCCCUGGACAACUCCUGACACUGAGGCACGAAAGCUAGGGGGAGCAAACAGGAUUAGAUACCCUGGUAGUCCUAGCCGUAAACGGUGCACGUUUUGCUGUAAAAGGAAUCGACCCCUUUUGUGGCGUAGCCAACGCGUUAAACGUGCCGCCUGGGAAGUACGGUCGCAAGAUUAAAACUCAAAAAAUUGGACGGGGGCCUGCGCAAC